AUGAAGAAUCAGGUGAAUUCCCUCACGGGAGUUGUUCAGGAGGAAGUGUCGGUAGUGCAAGAUUUCCCCGAUGAAUUUCUGGAGGAAUUACCAGGAAUGCCACCGAACAGAGACAUUGAAUUUCUGAUUGAGUUAUUGCCCGGCACAGCCCCAAUAUCCAAGAGACCUUAUCGGAUGCCCCCGAACGAUUUGGAAGAGAUCAAGAAGCAAAUUAAUGAGCUAUUGGAGAAGGGAUAUAUUCAGUCAAGCUCCUCACCUUGGGGAGCCCCAGUUCUUUUGGUAGAGAAGAAGGAUGGAACCCUGAGAAUGGUUGUGGAUUAUCUUUUGUUGGAUGAUGUGACCAUCAAGGACAAGUACCCUUUGCCGAUGAUUAAUGAUUUAUUUGAUCAGCUAGUUGGAGCCAAGUUAUUCUCCAAGAUCGAUCUUCGAUCAGGGUAUCAUUAG
This 444-nucleotide ribosomal RNA is filed under the name Triticum aestivum (bread wheat). RNAcentral's name for it is "partial small subunit ribosomal RNA". The record is from RNAcentral. Lineage: Eukaryota; Viridiplantae; Streptophyta; Magnoliopsida; Poales; Poaceae.